This 474-nucleotide ribosomal RNA is filed under the name uncultured bacterium. RNAcentral's name for it is "bacterial SSU rRNA". It matches the Rfam family "Bacterial small subunit ribosomal RNA", at positions 24 to 507 of the family's 1533-position model. The record is from RNAcentral.
UCAGGAUGAACGCUGGCGGCGUGCUUAACACAUGCAAGUCGAACGAAGAUGCCGGAGUGCUUGCACUUUGGCAGACUGAGUGGCGGACGGGUGAGUAACGCGUGGGUAACCUGCCUUAUACAGGGGGAUAACAGUUGGAAACGACUGCUAAUACCGCAUAAGCGCACGGUAUCGCAUGAUACAGUGUGAAAAACUCCGGUGGUAUAAGAUGGACCCGCGUCUGAUUAGCUUGUUGGUGAGGUAAACGGCCCACCAAGGCGACGAUCAGUAGCCGGCCUGAGAGGGUGAACGGCCACAUUGGGACUGAGACACGGCCCAAACUCCUACGGGAGGCAGCAGUGGGGAAUAUUGCACAAUGGGGGAAACCCUGAUGCAGCGACGCCGCGUGAGUGAUGAAGUAUUUCGGUAUGUAAAACUCUAUCAGCAGGGAAGAUAAUGACGGUACCUGACUAAGAAGCACCGGCUAAAUACGUG